Molecule: ribosomal RNA, 468 nt
Filed under: uncultured bacterium
Lineage: Bacteria
Description: partial 16S ribosomal RNA
Rfam family: Bacterial small subunit ribosomal RNA
Source: RNAcentral
ACCCAGACUCCUACGGGAGGCAGCAGUGAGGAAUAUUGGUCAAUGGGCGAGAGCCUGAACCAGCCAAGUCGCGUGAGGGAGUACUGCCCUAUGGGUUGUAAACCUCUUUUGUCGGGGAGCAAAAGCCGGACGUGUCCGGCUGUGAGAGUACCCGAAGAAAAAGCAUCGGCUAACUACGUGCCAGCAGCCGCGGUAAUACGUAGGGGGCAAGCGUUAUCCGGAUUUACUGGGUGUAAAGGGAGCGUAGGCGGUUAGAUAAGUCUGAUGUGAAAGCCCACAGCUUAACUGUGGGAUUGCAUUGGAAACUAUAGAACUAGAGUGUCGGAGAGGGAAGUGGAAUUCCUAGUGUAGCGGUGAAAUGCGUAGAUAUUAGGAGGAACACCAGUGGCGAAGGCGGAUUGCUGGACAGUAACUGACGCUGAGGCGCGAAAGCGUGGGGAGCAAACAGGAUUAGAUACCCCCGUAAUG